RNAcentral lists this ribosomal RNA (426 nucleotides) under uncultured bacterium. RNAcentral's name for it is "bacterial SSU rRNA". It matches the Rfam family "Bacterial small subunit ribosomal RNA", at positions 355 to 776 of the family's 1533-position model. The record is from RNAcentral.
UGGGGAAUAUUGCGCAAUGGGCGAAAGCCUGACGCAGCCACGCCGCGUGAGUGAUGAAGGCCUUCGGGUUGUAAAGCUCUGUCGGGAGGGAAGAAGGCCAGCGGUGCAAGCCACGGGCCUGACGGUACCUCGCAAGAAAGCACCGGCUAACUCUGUGCCAGCAGCCGCGGUAAUACAGAGGGUGCAAGCGUUGCUCGGAUUUACUGGGCGUAAAGCGUACGCAGACGGUUUGGUAGGUCGGGUGUGAAAGCCCAGGGCUCAACCCUGGAAAUGCACUCGAAACCACCUCACUUGAGUAUAGGAGAGGGAAGCGGAAUUCCUGGUGUAGAGGUGAAAUUCGUAGAUAUCAGGAGGAACACCGGUGGCGAAGGCGGCUUCCUGGCCUAUUACUGACGUUCAGGUACGAAAGCGUGGGUAGCAAACAGG